Molecule: ribosomal RNA, 468 nt
Filed under: uncultured bacterium
Lineage: Bacteria
Description: partial 16S ribosomal RNA
Rfam family: Bacterial small subunit ribosomal RNA
Source: RNAcentral
GACGAACGCUGGCGGCGUGCUUAACACAUGCAAGUCGAACGGAAAGGCCCUGCUUUUGUGGGGUGCUCGAGUGGCGAACGGGUGAGUAACACGUGAGUAACCUGCCCUUGUCUUUGGGAUAACUUCAGGAAACUGGGGCUAAUACCGGAUAGGAUCUCCUGCUGCAUGGUGGGGGUUGGAAAGUUUCGGCUGUUGGGGAUGGACUCGCGGCUUAUCAGCUUGUUUGUGAGGUAGUGGCUUACCAAGGCUUUGACGGGUAGCCGGCCUGAGAGCGUGACCGGCCACAUUGCGCCUGAGAUAGGGACCAGACUCCUACGGGAGGCAGCAGUGGGGAAUAUUGCACAAUGGGCGGAAGCCUGAUGCAGCAACGCCGCGUGCGGGAUGACGUCCUUCGGGUUGUAAACCGCUUUCGCCUGUGACGAAGCGUGAGUGACGGUAAUGGGUAAAGAAGCACCGGCUAACUACGUG